GGAUGUGACCAUACCGGCACUAAAGCACCGGAUCCCAUCAGAACUCCGAAGUUAAGCGUGCUUGGGCGAGAGUAGUACUAGGAUGGGUGACCUCCUGGGAAGUCCUUGUUUUGCAUUCC
RNAcentral lists this ribosomal RNA (119 nucleotides) under Aegilops tauschii subsp. strangulata. The record is from RNAcentral. Lineage: Eukaryota; Viridiplantae; Streptophyta; Magnoliopsida; Poales; Poaceae.